RNAcentral lists this long non-coding RNA (269 nucleotides) under Homo sapiens (human). RNAcentral describes it as "non-protein coding lnc-TRIM56-2:1". It matches the Rfam family "7SK RNA", at positions 1 to 247 of the family's 331-position model. From Rfam's summary of the family: 7SK was discovered as an abundant small nuclear RNA in the mid-70s but a possible function has only recently been suggested. Two independent studies have found that 7SK RNA binds the CDK9/cyclin T complex (known as elongation factor P-TEFb). The record is from RNAcentral. Lineage: Eukaryota; Metazoa; Chordata; Mammalia; Primates; Hominidae.
AGAUUUGAGGGUACUCUGACUGCAACAUCUUUCACCCCAUUGAUCGCCAGGAUUGAUUUGGUUGAUCUGGCUGAGCAGGCGGGUGUCCCCGUCCUCCCUCACUGCCCCAUAUGUGUCCCUCCUAAAGCUGCAUGCUCAGUUGAAGAGGACGAGAGGACGACCUUCUCUGAUAGAGGAGGACCACGCUUCAGUCAAAGGCAUACAAGUAUCUAUCUGGACUUCCCUGCUAGCACUUCCAAACAAGCUCAGAGAUGUUCCUCCCCUCAUCU